GACGAACGCUGGCGGCGUGGAUUAGGCAUGCAAGUCGAACGGUAUCAUCCUUUCGGGGGUGAGAGAGUGGCGAACUGGUGAGUAACACGUAGGUUAUCUACCCUCAAGACGGGGACAACCCAGGGAAACUUGGGCUAAUACCGGAUGUGAGCAACUUUUAGUUGUUUGAAAGGUGGCGUAAGCUGUCGCUUGGGGAUGAGCCUGCGUCCUAUUAGUUAGUUGGUGAGGUAACGGCUCACCUAGGCAAUGAUAGGUAGGCGGCCUUAACGGGUGGUCGCCCACACUGGGAUUGAGAUACGGCCCAGACUCCUACGGGAGGCAGCAGUCGAGAAGGUAUCUACAAUGGUCGGAAGACUGAUAGUGCGACGCCGCGUGAACGAUGAAUCCCUUCGGGGUGUAAAGUUCUUUUAUAUGUGAGCAGUGCUUCUUAUAUUAACAGUAUGGGGAGAGAGAUAUUAGCAUAUGAAUAAGCAACGGCUAACUCCGUGCCAGCAGCCGCGGU
This 502-nucleotide ribosomal RNA is filed under the name uncultured bacterium. RNAcentral's name for it is "bacterial SSU rRNA". It matches the Rfam family "Bacterial small subunit ribosomal RNA", at positions 28 to 521 of the family's 1533-position model. The record is from RNAcentral.